GCCAGCCCGCUCAAGAAACUUAAAGGAAGUUGACGGGGCCCGCCGACAAGCGGAGGAGCAUGUGGUUUAAUUCGAUGAUACGCGAGGAACCUUACCUGGGCUCGAACGUAAGAUGACUGUAGGUGAAAGCUUACAUCUCUUCGGAGCAUUUUACGAGGUGCUGCAUGGUUGUCGUCAGCUCGUGCCGUGAGGUGUCGGGUUAAGUCCCAUAACGAGCGCAACCCCUACCUUUAGUUGCCAUCAGGUUAAGCUGGGGACUCUAAAGGAACUGCCUACGCAAGUAGUGAGGAAGGCGGGGAUGACGUCAAAUCAGCACGGCCCUUACGUCCAGGGCUACACACGUGCUACAAUGGCCGAUACAGAGGGCAGCUACCUGGUGACAGGAUGCAAAUCUCCAAAGUCGGUCUCAGUUCGGAUCGGAGUCUGCAACCCGACUCCGUGAAGUUGGAUUCGCUAGUAAUCGCGCAUCAGCCAUGGCGCGGUGAAUACGUUCCCGGGCCUU
RNAcentral lists this ribosomal RNA (502 nucleotides) under uncultured Sphingobacteriales bacterium. RNAcentral's name for it is "bacterial SSU rRNA". It matches the Rfam family "Bacterial small subunit ribosomal RNA", at positions 903 to 1382 of the family's 1533-position model. Lineage: Bacteria; Pseudomonadati; Bacteroidota; Sphingobacteriia; Sphingobacteriales. The record is from RNAcentral.